Non-coding RNA from Cinara cedri, 629 nucleotides. Lineage: Eukaryota; Metazoa; Arthropoda; Insecta; Hemiptera; Aphididae. The record is from the annotation of a GenBank genome assembly.
AAAAAACGAUUAUUAUUUCCUAUAUCUCUUCUUGGGCACGCCCACUAGUUGGAUUAAUAUGAGAAUGGCUGGUUUAUACGCGAACAAAAAACCCUCGUAGAGUUAUAAUUAUACAUUUUAUAUUAUUAUGUUGGAUUUUUGAAACCAUAAACAGGGAUAAAUAAUUUUUACUUUUUUAAUAUUGUUAGGUUUUAUAUAAUAGCUCGCGUAUUAUAACGAAUCGUUAAAAAAAAAAAAAAUACGAAUAUAUUAAAAUUAAUAAUUAAUUAAAAUACAAGUAACACAUUAUAUUUAGGUGUAUACAUGCAGUUUCGCAGGGAAUUUCGUAUACUUCUUUGGCUAUUGUUUUCAAGAACACACGUUAAUGAUAACGGAAUCUAAUUAAGUAUGAGUCUUUUUGGCCACUCUAAAAUACGAACUAUAAAAUGAAGAUUUCGGUACAAUCCCACGUAUAUAAUAUCAUCUUUGUCUCGCGGUUUGCUUGCGACGCCACUUGAAUUAAUUUCCGUUAGUUAUUCGAUAUAUUAUAACACUUCACAUUACGAGUUCAAACCCGUAAUACGAAAUACCCUACAUAAGGUCCUGUACAAUUAAUUUAAUAAGUGAAUUCAUAUUAUGGUAUUGUUAUU